GUACACGCUGUGACUAGCAUAUCAAUAAGCGGAGGAAAAGAAACUAACAAGGAUUCCCUUAGUAACGGCGAAUGAAGCGGGAAGAGCUCAAAUUUGAAAUCUUCAAGGUUUUACCUUGACGAAUUGUAGUUUAAAGAAGUGUUUUCUGUUGAAGUUUUGGUAAAAGUUCUUUGGAAUAGGACAUCAUAGAGGGUGAGAAUCCCGUAUUUGACCAUUAUUUUCAGCUGUGUGAUACACUUUCAAAGAGUCGGAUUGUUUGGGAAUGCAGUCCAAAAUGGGUGGUAAAUUUCAUCUAAAGCUAAAUAUUGGCGAGAGACCGAUAGCGAACAAGUACCGUGAGGGAAAGAUGAAAAGAACUUUGAAAAGAGAGUUAAACAGUACGUGAAAUUGUCAAAAGGGGAGCGUUUGACACCAGUGUUGUUUUCUCGAAAAUCAAUUAAAAAGAGUUCGAUUUUGUUGUGUAUUGACCUUAACAGCUUGCAUUUCAAUUUUCUUGCUUUUUUUAAUGCACUUUUCGUUUAACAAGUCAACAUCAGUUUCUUUUGUUGUAAAAAGGUCAUUGGAAGGUGGCUUUCUUUUCGGAGAAAGUGUUUAUAGCCUUUGACUCCUGCAAUCGGAGAGACUGAGGUCUGCAGCGUAGAUCCUUCGGGGUUAGAUACAUUUGUGCUAAGUUAUAGCUUUUUAUAGACAACUUGUUGACUAUAAUUAGUCUCGUAGCUUACUCGCUUAUGCUAUUUUACCUACGCUUAGGAUGUUGAACUACUGAGACAUAGA
Molecule: ribosomal RNA, 774 nt
Filed under: uncultured Neocallimastigales
Lineage: Eukaryota; Fungi; Neocallimastigomycota; Neocallimastigomycetes; Neocallimastigales
Description: partial large subunit ribosomal RNA
Rfam family: Eukaryotic large subunit ribosomal RNA
Source: RNAcentral